Molecule: ribosomal RNA, 460 nt
Filed under: uncultured bacterium
Lineage: Bacteria
Description: partial 16S ribosomal RNA
Rfam family: Bacterial small subunit ribosomal RNA
Source: RNAcentral
CCUACGGGAGGCAGCAGUGAGGAAUAUUGGUCAAUGGACGAGAGUCUGAACCAGCCAAGUAGCGUGAAGGAUGACUGCCCUAUGGGUUGUACACUUCUUUUAUCAAGGAAUAAAACGAGGCACGUGUGCCUUUUUGCAUGUACUUUAUGAAUAAGGAUCGGCUAACUCCGUGCCAGCAGCCGCGGUAAUGCGGAGGAUCCGAGCGUUAUCCGGAUUUAUUGGGGUUAAAGGGAGCGUAGAUGGGUUGUUAAGUCAGUUGUGAAAGUUUGCGGCUCAACCGUAAAAGUGCAAUUGAUACUGGCAGUCUUGAGUACAGUUGAGGUAGGCGGAAUUCGUGGUGUAGCGGUGAAAUGCUUAGAUAUCACGAAGAACCCCGAUUGCGAAGGCAGCUUACUAAACUGUGACUGACAUUGAUGCUCGAAAGUGUGGGUAUCAAACAGGAGUAGAUACCCUUGUAGUC